This 349-nucleotide unclassified non-coding RNA is filed under the name soil metagenome. RNAcentral describes it as "partial contains 5.8S ribosomal RNA, internal transcribed spacer 2, and large subunit ribosomal RNA". The stretch from base 1 to 121 matches the Rfam family "5.8S ribosomal RNA", at positions 35 to 154 of the family's 154-position model. The record is from RNAcentral.
GAUGAAGAACGUAGCGAAAUGCGAUAAGUAAUGCGAAUUGCAGAAUUUCCGUGAGUCAUCGAAUCUUUGAACGCACAUUGCGCCCCCUGGUAUUCCGGGGGGCAUGCCUGUCCGAGCGUCAUUGCUGCCCUCAAGCACGGCUUGUGUGUUGGGCCCCGCCCCCCGGCUCCCGGGGGGCGGGCCCGAAAGGCAGCGGCGGCACCGCGUCCGGUCCUCGAGCGUAUGGGGCUUCGUCACCCGCUCCGUAGGCCCGGCCGGCGCCCGCCGGCGACCCCCCUCAAUCUUUUCAGGUUGACCUCGGAUCAGGUAGGGAUACCCGCUGAACUUAAGCAUAUCAAUAAGCGGAGGA